CCUACGGGUGGCAGCAGUGGGGAAUAUUGCACAAUGGGGGAAACCCUGAAGCAGCAACGCCGCGUGAGUGAAGAAGUAUUUCUGUAUGUAAAACUCUAUCAGCAGGGCAGAAGAUUCCGGUACCUGAGUGCGACGCCCCGGCUACCUCCGUGCCAGCCGCCGCGGUAAUACGUAGGGGGCCAGCGUUAUCCGGAUUGACUGGGUGUAAAGGGGGCGUAGACGGGGAGACAGUUCUGAAGUGAAAGCCCGGGGGUCAACCCCGGGACUGCUUUGGAAACUGCCUGCCUGGAGUGCUGGAGAGGCAAGCGGAAUUCGUAGUGUAGCGGUGAAAUGCGUAGAUAUUAGGAAGAACACCAGUGGCGAAGGCAGCGUGCUGGACAGUAACUGACGUUGAGGCUCGAAAGCGUGGGGAGCAAACAGGAUUAGAUACCCUGGUAGUC
This 440-nucleotide ribosomal RNA is filed under the name uncultured bacterium. RNAcentral's name for it is "partial 16S ribosomal RNA". It matches the Rfam family "Bacterial small subunit ribosomal RNA", at positions 338 to 795 of the family's 1533-position model. The record is from RNAcentral.